Molecule: ribosomal RNA, 493 nt
Filed under: uncultured bacterium
Lineage: Bacteria
Description: partial 16S ribosomal RNA
Rfam family: Bacterial small subunit ribosomal RNA
Source: RNAcentral
GACGAACGCUGGCGGCGUGCUUAACACAUGCAAGUCGAACGGAAAGGCCUGCUUUCCCUUGUGGAUUGCGGGUACUCGACUGGCGAACGGGUGAGUAACACGUGAGUGAUCUGCCCCCAACUUGGGUAUAAGCCUGGGAAACUGGGUCUAAUUCCCGAUAGGACUGCAGGGUGGUGCCUGUGGUGGAAAACGAUUUUCUAGUGGUUGGGGAUGAGCUCGCGGCCUAUCAGCUUGUUGGUGGGGUAAUGGCCUACCAAGGCGGCGACGGGUAGCCGGCCUGAGAGGGUGGACGGCCACAUUGGGACUGAGAUACGGCCCAGACUCCUACGGGAGGCAGCAGUGGGGAAUAUUGCACAAUGGGCGGAAGCCUGAUGCAGCGACGCCGCGUGGGGGAUGACGGCCUUCGGGUUGUAAACUCCUUUCGACCGCGAGGAAGCCACCUGGUUGGAAGGGUGGUGACGGUAGUGGUAGAAGAAGCACCGGCUAACUACGU